AUCACCUGGGAGCUUGCUAGAUACAGAUUCCGGUUCCAUAGGUCUGCGAUGGGACCUGAGAUUCUGCAUUUCUAACAAGCUCCCAGCAUGAUGC
RNAcentral lists this microRNA precursor (94 nucleotides) under Vicugna pacos (alpaca). RNAcentral's name for it is "miRNA (ENSVPAG00000018061.1)". The record is from RNAcentral. Lineage: Eukaryota; Metazoa; Chordata; Mammalia; Artiodactyla; Camelidae.